This 535-nucleotide ribosomal RNA is filed under the name Lactiplantibacillus plantarum. RNAcentral describes it as "bacterial SSU rRNA". It matches the Rfam family "Bacterial small subunit ribosomal RNA", at positions 93 to 614 of the family's 1533-position model. Lineage: Bacteria; Bacillati; Bacillota; Bacilli; Lactobacillales; Lactobacillaceae. The record is from RNAcentral.
GAGUGGCGAACUGGUGAGUAACACGUGGGAAACCUGCCCAGAAGCGGGGGAUAACACCUGGAAACAGAUGCUAAUACCGCAUAACAACUUGGACCGCAUGGUCCGAGUUUGAAAGAUGGCUUCGGCUAUCACUUUUGGAUGGUCCCGCGGCGUAUUAGCUAGAUGGUGAGGUAACGGCUCACCAUGGCAAUGAUACGUAGCCGACCUGAGAGGGUAAUCGGCCACAUUGGGACUGAGACACGGCCCAAACUCCUACGGGAGGCAGCAGUAGGGAAUCUUCCACAAUGGACGAAAGUCUGAUGGAGCAACGCCGCGUGAGUGAAGAAGGGUUUCGGCUCGUAAAACUCUGUUGUUAAAGAAGAACAUAUCUGAGAGUAACUGUUCAGGUAUUGACGGUAUUUAACCAGAAAGCCACGGCUAACUACGUGCCAGCAGCCGCGGUAAUACGUAGGUGGCAAGCGUUGUCCGGAUUUAUUGGGCGUAAAGCGAGCGCAGGCGGUUUUUUAAGUCUGAUGUGAAAGCCUUCGGCUCAACC